Long non-coding RNA from Mustela erminea (ermine), 340 nucleotides. RefSeq lists it as uncharacterized. The transcript is spliced from 3 exons. Lineage: Eukaryota; Metazoa; Chordata; Mammalia; Carnivora; Mustelidae. The record is from RefSeq and is a predicted model, not a curated record.
UUAGCUGUGAGCAGAGGUGACUGUGGACGCUUGAUCUGGUCAUCAGGGAAGGAACUGGGGAAGGGAGGAUGGUGCCGGGGCUGCACUUGGGAGAAGAGGAGAGGGAAUCAAGCAGCAGAAGUGACACCAGGUUCACUUCUCCUCUUCCAUCUGUGUGGACAUUCACUCAUCCUAUUUGUAAUAUAAACUCUCCAGUCAUAAAGUUACAAGUCCUAUUAAAGUGUGAAAUUUGGAGAAUGCUUUAACUCUUUAUUCAGUUCCCUGGUGUCCAGUCUGAAAGACCUCCUCACAAGCUUUGAAUAUGCCAAGCAGAAAACCACUUCCUGGAAUGAUUCCUCAC